GAUGAACGCUGGCGGCGUGCUUAACACAUGCAAGUCGAACGGGAAACCUUUUAUUGAAGCUUAGGCAGAUUUAGCUGGUUUCUAGUGGCGGACGGGUGAGUAACGCGUGGGUAACCUGCCUUAUACAGGGGGAUAACAACCAGAAAUGGUUGCUAAUACCGCAUAAGCGCACAGGACCGCAUGGUCCGGUGUGCAAAACUCCGGUGGUAUAAGAUGGACCCGCGUUGGAUUAGCUAGCUGGCAGGGUAACGGCCUACCAAGGCGACGAUCCAUAGCCGGCGUGCGAGAGUGAACGGCCACAUUGGGGCUGAGACACGGCCCAGACUCCUACUGGAGGCAGCAGUGGGGAAUAUUGCACAAUGGGGGAAACCCUGAUGUAGCGACGCCGCGUGAAGGAAGAAAUAUCUCAGUAUGUAAACUUCUAUAAGCAGGGAAGAUAGUGACGGUACCUGACUACGAAGACCCGGCUAACUACGUG
RNAcentral lists this ribosomal RNA (478 nucleotides) under uncultured bacterium. RNAcentral describes it as "partial 16S ribosomal RNA". It matches the Rfam family "Bacterial small subunit ribosomal RNA", at positions 28 to 507 of the family's 1533-position model. The record is from RNAcentral.